ACAUGUCAAAUUUAAUUUUAAAUCAGUUUUUAAUAUCCUCUAACUAAUGAAUUUAAGAAAGUGUUUUUCUCAAUAACAGCUCCAACAGCAAUGCCAAACAACUGUGCCACCAUGCCCCAUCACUCCGUAGAUAUGCACUCCACCUGCACUGCAGCCACUACUAUUACCACCACUUCUACCAAUAUGCUCAUCACCACUGCUCUAUUCCUAAAAUUAUACAAACUUAAUGCUAUGACUACCACUAAUAGCAUCGCUAUGGAAGAUGUAAUGCCACUGCUAACAACCAAAACAAGCUCCCAAACAAAAGCCCUACAAACUAUAAUUUAUAUAGAGAAAGGAAGAGAGUCAUUCUUCUUACCAAUUCAGAUAUGAAAAAUGCCAUACUUAAAGUAAAACGCGCUAAAUUUGACAUCUAAAGGACAAGGGUUCUUGAAAUAUGCUGAUGGUUUUUUAUUGUUAAUAAACAAAGUGAAUUUAGAGAAAGAGGAUACAAAAAGAAGGAUAUGACACCCUCCUGAAGAAAAAUAAAAAGUCAAAACAAAAGCCCCUACUGACACAAAAAGGCUCCCCAAUCCUGUUGCUAAUACGAUAAAGAAAUUCCGCUUGAAAAAUAAUUAGCAGAACACCAGAAUUAAGCCAAGAAUAAUACUUUAUCCUCUGAUAAUUAUAUGAGUGGAGGAAAUGUCCCUCCAUGGGCAUGGCCUAAGGGCAAUAAUUACAAGUCAAGUACUAGACAUACCAAUUCCAAGCAGCGCAUGGUGGAUCUGAUACCAGUGACAGAGAUGUCCACAUAAAUAACACAGUAUAUAAACAUGCUUGUGAGAGUGCAUCAUUUAUUUCCCAAAAAAAAAAACUAAAUUCAGUGAUUUAUAAUGAUUUGAAAAUAAACAAAGAUGAAAAUACAAAAGCACCACACAUUUGAGCAUUUCACAAGCACAUUUAUAUAUAACUUAGUUUAGUUCUCAUGUCCCAAAAAGGAUUAUACAUGCCUUUGACUCAUAUUUUUAACUUCACCACAUUGAAACCAAGAGGAACGGAUCAUGCAGCAGCAGCUUAAAUAUUUGUUAGGGACAACCACCAUAAACAAAUCAAGUGUAAAGACCAAUGCAUCACAACAUA
This 1119-nucleotide unclassified non-coding RNA is filed under the name Hevea brasiliensis (rubber tree). Lineage: Eukaryota; Viridiplantae; Streptophyta; Magnoliopsida; Malpighiales; Euphorbiaceae. The record is from RNAcentral.